RNAcentral lists this ribosomal RNA (497 nucleotides) under uncultured bacterium. RNAcentral describes it as "partial 16S ribosomal RNA". It matches the Rfam family "Bacterial small subunit ribosomal RNA", at positions 28 to 507 of the family's 1533-position model. The record is from RNAcentral.
GAUGAACGCUGGCGGCGUGCCUAAUACAUGCAAGUCGAGCGAACAGACGAGGAGCUUGCUCCUCUGACGUUAGCGGCGGACGGGUGAGUAACACGUGGAUAACCUACCUAUAAGACUGGGAUAACUUCGGGAAACCGGAGCUAAUACCGGAUAAUAUAUUGAACCGCAUGGUUCAAUAUUGAAAGACGGUUUUGCUGUCACUUAUAGAUGGAUCCGCGCCGCAUUAGCUAGUUGGUAAGGUAACGGCUUACCAAGGCGACGAUGCGUAGCCGACCUGAGAGGGUGAUCGGCCACACUGGAACUGAGACACGGUCCAGACUCCUACGGGAGGCAGCAGUAGGGAAUCUUCCGCAAAGGGCGAAAGCCUGACGGAGCAACGCCGCGUGAGUGAUGAAGGUCUUCGGAUCGUAAAACUCUGUUAUUAGGGAAGAACAAAUGUGUAAGUAACUAUGCACGUCUUGACGGUACCUAAUCAGAAAGCCACGGCUAACUACGUG